RNAcentral lists this ribosomal RNA (751 nucleotides) under uncultured bacterium. Its description in RNAcentral is "bacterial SSU rRNA". It matches the Rfam family "Bacterial small subunit ribosomal RNA", at positions 8 to 796 of the family's 1533-position model. The record is from RNAcentral.
AGAGUUUGAUCAUGGCUCAGAACGAACGCUGGCGGCAUGCCUAACACAUGCAAGUCGAACGUGAUCCAGGCUUCGGCCUGGUGAAAGUGGCAGACGGGUGAGUAACGCGUGGGAACCUGCCCUGUGGUAGGGAAUAACCGUGGGAAACUGCGGCUAAUACCCUAUGAGUCCUUCGGGAGAAAGAUUUAUCGCCAUAGGAGGGGCCCGCGUCGGAUUAGGUAGUUGGUGGGGUAACGGCCUACCAAGCCUUCGAUCCGUAGCUGGUCUGAGAGGAUGAUCAGCCACACUGGGACUGAGAUACGGCCCAGACUCCUACGGGAGGCAGCAGUGGGGAAUAUUGGACAAUGGGGGCAACCCUGAUCCAGCAAUGCCGCGUGGAUGAUGAAGGCCUUCGGGUUGUAAAGUCCUUUCGGCGGGGAAGAUGAUGACGGUACCCGCAGAAGAAGCCCCGGCUAACUUCGUGCCAGCAGCCGCGGUAAUACGAAGGGGGCUAGCGUUGUUCGGAAUUACUGGGCGUAAAGGGCGCGUAGGCUGUGCUGUAAGUCAGGCGUGAAAGCCCCGGGCUCAACCUGGGAAUUGCGCUUGAUACUGCGGCGCUGGAAGGUGGGAGAGGAUGGCGGAAUUCCCAGUGUAGAGGUGAAAUUCGUAGAUAUUGGGAAGAACACCGGUGGCGAAGGCGGCCAUCUGGCCCACAUUUGACGCUGAGGCGCGAAAGCGUGGGGACAAACAGGAUUAGAUACCCUAGUAGUCC